GUCUAUGGCCAUGCCACCCUGAACAUGCCCAAUCUCGUCUGAUCUCGGAAGCUAAGCAGGGUCAGAUCUGCUUAGUACUUGGAUGGGAGACCACCUAGGAAGACCAGAUGCUGUAGGUG
RNAcentral lists this ribosomal RNA (119 nucleotides) under Pteropus alecto (black flying fox). Lineage: Eukaryota; Metazoa; Chordata; Mammalia; Chiroptera; Pteropodidae. The record is from RNAcentral. RNAcentral also lists the same sequence under 1 other name.